RNAcentral lists this long non-coding RNA (719 nucleotides) under Marmota monax (woodchuck). Lineage: Eukaryota; Metazoa; Chordata; Mammalia; Rodentia; Sciuridae. The record is from RNAcentral.
CCGUGUCCCGCCUGCAGUGGCUCCGCUGACCCAUGGGCUCCGCACGGCUGUAUCCUGCUGUGUCUCCCACAGUGCUCCGGCCUCCUCCAUCUGCCUCGGUCACUCCCAAGUUCCCUGCUUCCUCCCCUCCGCUGCCAUGUCAGUCUGGAGCCCAGGACAGCACGUGGGCCAAACCUGCAGGUCUGGAAGGGAGUCACUGCCGUGAGGCCCCAAGGAGAACAGACGCUGCCGGCCUCGAGCCCCAGAGCGAGCUGCCUCCUGGGGCAGCCCCUCUGCACCCCCAGGCUCCCCAGGUCCACCGAGGGACGCCUGGGACCACCGGACUUCAACAGGACCACACCCACUCCCGUCCCCCCAGCUCUGGCAGGUCACCUCAGGAGGUCUGAGCUCAGAGAGACAAAGGCACAUGCCCGCGGGAACCCCAGCCAUCAGCAGCAGAGGCAGAAAGACUGCAGACUCAGGCAGCCCCAGCAAUUGAGCAAUACCCCUAGUGAGACUCUGCCCCAAAUCAAAAAGGCUUGGGGGUGUGGCCGGCCGUGGAGUGCCCAGGGCUCAAUCCCCAGGACCAAAAUAAAAGCAAAAACCAAAGAUAGAGCUAAAGGGAAGGAGGCCAGGCCAGUAUCAGGACAGGUCUCAGGGCGUCCCCCACCCAGCUCCGGGCUCCCGCAGCCGUCUGUGGUGGGGAGCGUCUGUUUUAACUACUGCUCCCCAUGACCAGC